This 2399-nucleotide long non-coding RNA is filed under the name Megachile rotundata (alfalfa leafcutting bee). RNAcentral describes it as "uncharacterized LOC105662134, transcript variant X2". Lineage: Eukaryota; Metazoa; Arthropoda; Insecta; Hymenoptera; Megachilidae. The record is from RNAcentral.
UUUGUUUCUAAAUGCCUCAGGAACCAUACUACGUCGAGAAAGUGCCGAAAUAUUCAUUUUUUUAUUUUCCUUAUGUGCGUGUUCGGACCCUCACUAUUUAGGAUCAGUUUUUUCGGUGAUUAUUCGUUCGUGGCAAGUCCGAUUAAAAUUUUUUUAUUUCUAUGUCCAUCUGGAUGUACAUGCGCAUGUGCAUGCAAAAUUUGACGAGAAUUGGUUGAGUGGUGCAAAAGAAAAACGCGGACAAAGAAGUUGCAAAGUCAAGUAUAAGAGCUUCGCUCGCUCAAUGAAGUUACUAACUAAUUAAUUAAUUAAAUAUAGGAAAACAAUUCCUAUAAUCCUGUGUUGAUCAUCAAGGCCGUCGGUUAAGAAGAAUUCUGUGAUCAAAGCCGUCGGUCAAGAAAAGUUCUAUUUCCAAUUCUGAAUAAAUAAUCAAUACUGAAAGCAUCCAUCGUUUUAUCGCCAUGAAUUUUAUUUUAAAAAAGGCGCGAAAAUAUACCUCUUGACAGGACAUUUGAGAGAAAGUAAGUACCAUCAGUUUUCUUCUGAGCGCGCGCAAAUAUAUAUAAUUUCAAAAUACACGUAAGAAUGAAACUUUCGAAAUACUUUCAAUUUUCUAAUAAUAAGCUACAAUCUUUACACUAAGUAAUUAUCUUUCAUACCAUUUCCUCUAUAAUAAUCAGUUUACGUGAAUUCUUUCUACGAAAACCUCCCCUUGAAGAAAAACCAUAAACUGAACUGGAUAAUAUUUCACAACAGGUCAGUCAAAAGAAGAACACCACAGCCAGUAACACAAACGUUUCAUCGCCAACGGGAGCGGAACAGUUUUGUCCUGUAUGUAUGGAGAAGCUUCCCUCAGACACCAGAGACAUAUAUCGCUCGGCAAAAAGCGUUGUUAAACUGUCGAUCGGGCCAUUUUGCGAAGCAAAAACGUUGGAUCUGCGUCCCUAGAACGUCUUCAUGCCACGAUCGAAUUCACUUUUAAGCCCGAAUUGUUCCUGUUCACCGUUAGAUACUCGUACGUACUCGAUUAAUGCACAUCGAUAAUUAAACCAUCAUAUCGAUACAUAUAUGACACGUACGUUUUACAAUAUCUCGUAUAAAAAAAUAUCUUCUUGCAGCCGGAAGUCGAGCGUAAACAAGGACAACGACUUUCGCGCAUCCGGGGAUCACAAACAGACACUGAACGGCUCCUAUUAUAUAUACGGUUUGCCCCGAUGUGCCCUGUAAAGUGGCAGAGGCACGAUCUACCUGUUCGAACGAAGAAAAGAUUCCAUGCGCAUAAGCAUCAGGGUUUCCUGCUUCAUGGUUCAACUGAUCUUGUAACAUUUAACCCUUUCGAUAUGGACGUUAUACUUAGUCGAUUAGCUGAACGAUGAUUACAUUCAAAUAACUUUUGGUUUUAUUACAUUAUGCUUCAUACUUUAGCUGUUAUGGAUGACUAUAGUCGCUUGACUACAGGUUAUAUCUGCACUGGUUCAUCAUGAAAUGAUCUAAGAGCAACUACAGUCGUCCAACGUGAAACGUCUACAUUUCAGAAUAGGAAGUAUAAAAAAAAUUGUGACAAUUAGAAAAAAAAUUCUUGUUGAAAUUUUGUGAACAGAACUAUACUAUUUGUUAUAGGUUAGCUCAAGCGCCCGGCGAAGAACUCUCGGGUACAUGUGUGUUAAGGCGUGAAGCGAUGAGACGAAAAAUUUAAACUUAGAAAUUUGGAAAUUAAGAAACUUUGAAUCUCCAAAUUUCUAAAUUGAGAAAUAAUAGAAAGCAUGAAGACUAACCAUACCAAAAGGAUUAAACUUCACAAAAUCACAAGUAGGCAAGCGAUGAACGAGCUAUAUUCUAUUGCGUUUUUGUCUAAAACGAUCGAAAUAUUGUUGUAAAUAAAAUACUUCAAAAUUCUAUACUGAUAGAUUUAGCUGUUGCUAUACUAUGAGAAGGCAACGUAACAAUACUUUUCGAUGUAUGUACACUCUGAAUUAACAUUCAUUGCUUGCCGAUUUAAUCACAGCUUAACUCGAAACAUUUGACGCGAAACACAUGUAGUGUUUAUAUCAAUGUUGCGAUAAGCGAAUGUGAUGAAAAGUCAGAACUGCGAUGGAAAAUUGAUCUUGUAUUUUGUAUGUGAGAAUAUGUAUAUGCGUGUAGGUGUCGGAAUUUCGAUUACAAGGAUAUCACGCUAUUUUUCUAACUUCACGCGAGGUAUAUACAUAAUUCCACUGUUUCUUUAUCUACAAUAAUUUAUGUUAAUAUUGUGAGUAAUGAUAAAAUAAGCAAUCGCAUGUGCAGCACACGUGUGAACAUAAUUUGUCGUCAUUGUCACUAUAGUUGUUAAGGAUUAUUUUUCCUUUUGUAAUGAACUGACUGAUUUAUGAAUAAAACCUUUGACGUAUUAAAUUGGUUAA